CCCUGGAAGGUGGGGUCGGCCCUCCGGGGGCGGCGGUGGGUUCGGUGUGUGAUAGCCGGCCCGGUCCGACGCGCUCCGCGAGGCCACGCGAGACACCCACCGAGGCAUGGCGGCAGGGCCUGGGCACGGGAAUCGUGCGCACAGGGCGAGGAACCCUCGGAGGGGAUGAGAGCACAGGGCGGGGGUUAGGAGAAUGGGGCUGGAGAGACGGGCGGGAGGGGCGGGAACUGGGCGCCUGGGACCUGCCGGCUCCCAAGCCCCAGGAAGACGCUGCCCAUGCGUGGAGCGGCCGCAGGAAAGGUACUCCCGGCUAAGGCCUUCAGGGAGCGGCCCUUUUCCCUGUGCGAUCUCUUCCCUCCUUUCCCACGGGUUGCCAAAUCCUGUGACGCUGCCCCUACUCUGGUGCUUCUCAGAUGCUAUGGUCGGCUUAGGAGACCUCGCAGCCGUUACACAGCUGUGGAAAUACCCUGGGCGCUGGGCGCUGCUUCACUCCGAAGGCAGCAGCUGGGUUUACCUCCCGACUCGACCCGCCACCGAGGCUCCUGAGCACUUGAAAUGUGGCCAGUCCACCCGAGACGGGCUGUGCCUGCCCUCUCCGUUCCUCCUCACUUUCCUCCGCUGGGAAUCGGCACCACCACUGAUUUUAAAGUUGAAACUUGUCAGGCAAAACGGAGGUACUCCCACGUUAAAUGUAUACACGUUGACUGCAAUAGCAUCCUGACUUUUGAAAUGGCAAAACGUAGAGCAAGUUG
Molecule: long non-coding RNA, 752 nt
Organism: Nomascus leucogenys (northern white-cheeked gibbon)
Lineage: Eukaryota; Metazoa; Chordata; Mammalia; Primates; Hylobatidae
Exons: 2
Source: RefSeq, a predicted model, not a curated record